AACGCUAGCUACAGGCUUAACACAUGCAAGUCGAGGGGAAACGAUAUUGGAAGCUUGCUUCCGAUAGGCGUCGACCGGCGCACGGGUGAGUAACGCGUAUCCAACCUGCCCAUCACUUGGGAAUAACCUUGCGAAAGUAAGACUAAUACCCAAUGACGUCUCUAGAAGACAUCUGAAGGAGAUUAAAGAUUUAUCGGUGAUGGAUGGGGAUGCGUCUGAUUAGCUUGUUGGCGGGGUAACGGCCCACCAAGGCGACGAUCAGUAGGGGUUCUGAGAGGAAGGUCCCCCACAUUGGAACUGAGACACGGUCCAAACUCCUACGGGAGGCAGCAGUGAGGAAUAUUGGUCAAUGGGCGAGAGCCUGAACCAGCCAAGUAGCGUGCAGGAUGACGGCCCUAUGGGUUGUAAACUGCUUUUAUAAGGGAAUAAAGUGAGUCUCGUGAGGCUUUUUGCAUGUACCUUAUGAAUAAGGACCGGCUAAUUCCGUGCCAGCAGCCGCGGUAAUACGGAAGGUCCGGGCGUUAUCCGGAUUUAUUGGGUUUAAAGGGAGCGUAGGCCGGAGAUUAAGCGUGUUGUGAAAUGUAGAUGCUCAACGUCUGCACUGCAGCGCGAACUGGUUUUCUUGAGUACGCACAAAGUGGGCGGAAUUCGUGGUGUAGCGGUGAAAUGCUUAGAUAUCACGAAGAACUCCGAUUG
Molecule: ribosomal RNA, 696 nt
Filed under: uncultured bacterium
Lineage: Bacteria
Description: bacterial SSU rRNA
Rfam family: Bacterial small subunit ribosomal RNA
Source: RNAcentral